Small nuclear RNA from Hyaena hyaena (striped hyena), 187 nucleotides. RefSeq annotates it as U2 spliceosomal RNA. NCBI's taxonomy places the organism in Eukaryota, Metazoa, Chordata, Mammalia, Carnivora, Hyaenidae. The record is from RefSeq and is a predicted model, not a curated record. The transcript has a single exon.
AUCAAUUCUCAGCCUUUUGGCUAAGAUCAAGUGUCAUAUCUGUUCUUAUCCGUUUAAUAUCAGAUGUGUUCUCUGAGGACAAUAUAUUCAAUGGAUUUUUGGAGCAGGGAGAUGGAAUAGGAGCUUGCCCCAUCCAUUCCAGGCAUCGACCUGGUAUUGCAGCACUUCCAGAAAUGGUGCACACACA